This 253-nucleotide ribosomal RNA is filed under the name uncultured bacterium. RNAcentral's name for it is "partial 16S ribosomal RNA". It matches the Rfam family "Bacterial small subunit ribosomal RNA", at positions 524 to 776 of the family's 1533-position model. The record is from RNAcentral.
UCCGUAGGGUGCAAGCGUUGUCCGGAUUUAUUGGGUUUAAAGGGUGCGUAGGUGGCUGAUUAAGUCAUGGGUGAAAGCCCGCAGCUCAACUGUGGAAUUGCCUGUGAUACUGAUUAGCUUGAGUGCGGUUGAUGCAGCUGGAAUUGGUGGUGUAGCGGUGAAAUGCAUAGAUACCACCAGGAACACCGAUUGCGAAGGCAGGUUGCUAAGCCGUAACUGACACUGAGGCACGAAAGCAUGGGGAGAAAACAGG